GGAUUAGAUACCCUGGUAGUCCACACCGUAAACGCUGUCUACUAGCUGUUUGUGUAUUAUAUACGUGAGUAGCGAAGCUAACGCGCUAAGUAGACCGCCUGGGGAGUACGGCCGCAAGGUUAAAACUCAAAUGAAUUGACGGGGGCCCGCACAAGCGGUGGAGCAUGUGGUUUAAUUCGAUGCAACGCGAAGAACCUUACCUACACUUGACAUGCAGAGAACUUUCUAGAGAUAGAUUGGUGCCUUCGGGAACUCUGACACAGGUGCUGCAUGGCUGUCGUCAGCUCGUGCCG
This 293-nucleotide ribosomal RNA is filed under the name uncultured bacterium. RNAcentral's name for it is "partial 16S ribosomal RNA". It matches the Rfam family "Bacterial small subunit ribosomal RNA", at positions 775 to 1067 of the family's 1533-position model. The record is from RNAcentral.